AUUUGAUGAUGGGGACAGCACACAGCUUCUUAAAUCACUCCCAAUAUUCAUACACACUCUCUCCAUUACACUGCCGGAUGCCACAAAUUUCUUUUCUUAUGUU
This is a small nucleolar RNA of Hevea brasiliensis (rubber tree), 103 nucleotides long. Lineage: Eukaryota; Viridiplantae; Streptophyta; Magnoliopsida; Malpighiales; Euphorbiaceae. The record is from RefSeq and is a predicted model, not a curated record.